RNAcentral lists this long non-coding RNA (681 nucleotides) under Mus pahari (shrew mouse). RNAcentral's name for it is "lncRNA (MGP_PahariEiJ_G0004249.1)". Lineage: Eukaryota; Metazoa; Chordata; Mammalia; Rodentia; Muridae. The record is from RNAcentral.
GUGUUCUCACAAUGGGUUGUUCCUCUUACAUCCUGUUCAGGCAGGCUGGCCCCGUAACCCAUGGCAAUGCCACUAGUGAAGAGUAUCCUCUGUGUGUAGAAUAGUGUGUUAGGGGGUAGCUUCAAAAACAGUGUUACCAGAACACACAUGUUCUUUUAGUGAAAGUUAAAAGAUAGCACUUCUUUCCAGAGGGUCAGCAGUGAAGUGUGGUGACCUGGGUACUUCCUGUUUGACCAAGUGUUUUGUGGCUGUGGUUGGCACUCUGGAAGACUGAUCUCUGCUGAGAUUGGCUGAGUACCUAGUGGGUUUGCCUUCAAACUGAGGCUUCAUGGAGACUGCAACAUAGCCUGUGACCUCAAAGGUAAGCCCAGAGCCUUGAGCUUGCUAAACAACUUCUUUACCCACCGAGCCUCAAGAUCUUCAACUCUACAGUGUGACACACGCAAAGAGUGAGAGCAAAUGGAUGGAGUAUGUAGAAGGUAUGGAAAACUAUCCUGAGAAAAAGUAAAAAGGAGAAGAAAAGAGAUCAACAAAUGGUCAGAAUUCAAAAUACCUUUCAGAGGUCUAAAAGUAAACAAAAAAAUGACGAAUGUUAUAAUUUAACUGCUUUUAAAGUAAAGUAGCAAAAUAAAUACCUAUAAACAAAUACUUUAAGAGCAGACACAAACAAAAAAGAUAUCU